CGGAGGGUGCAAGCGUUAUCCGGAUUCACUGGGUUUAAAGGGUGCGUAGGUGGCUUUGUAAGUCAGUGGUGAAAUCUCGGAGCUUAACUCCGAAACUGCCAUUGAUACUGCUUAGCUUGAAUCAGGUCGAGGUGGAUGGAAUAUUACAUGUAGCGGUGAAAUGCUUAGAUAUGUAAUAGAACACCGAUUGCGAAGGCAGUCCACUAGGCCUGUAUUGACACUGAGGCACGAAAGCGUGGGGAUCAAACAGGAUUAGAUACCCUGGUAGUCCACGCCCUAAACGAUGUAAACUCGACAUCAGCGAUACACUGUUGGUGUCCAAGCUAACGCGUUAAGUUUACCACCUGGGAAGUACGACCGCAAGGUUG
RNAcentral lists this ribosomal RNA (368 nucleotides) under uncultured organism. RNAcentral describes it as "bacterial SSU rRNA". It matches the Rfam family "Bacterial small subunit ribosomal RNA", at positions 526 to 896 of the family's 1533-position model. The record is from RNAcentral.